GCAAUUUAGAUAAGAGAUUUUUGCCUAAAUCAUUCUUGAAAUUCAGCAGAUAAUUGACAUACAACAGAAAAAAUAAACUUGAAGUUCCAUAUUGGUGUUUUCACAGCACAAUACUGACAUAUACUUUUCAUCAAGCCAUGAAAUAUGUGAAAUCAUAAAUCUUAUUCAAACUUCAGUCCUUUCAGGAUUGAAUUAGAGUUUAGGAG
RNAcentral lists this unclassified non-coding RNA (206 nucleotides) under Hevea brasiliensis (rubber tree). The record is from RNAcentral. Lineage: Eukaryota; Viridiplantae; Streptophyta; Magnoliopsida; Malpighiales; Euphorbiaceae.